AUUGAAGAAAAAGUGUGGGAUUUCAAGGGAUUAAGAUAAUGAAGGAUUAAAAGUGAUUGGACUUAAUUUUGGAAAGUAAGUUGUUAAAAGCCCAGUAUCUGUUUGCAUAUACUUCAGUAUUUUAGCCAUAUCUGGAGCUACAGAAUUUCAAAUGAUGCGAUUCUUAGACCAGUGGAAAGCUAAGAGACAGAGGUACAACUUUUAUGAAUAUUACUUUGCCCAGUUCUGCAUCAAAGAUAGAGAAAAUUGCUUCUGAAAAUGGAUAGACGUACUGUGCCGGGAAUAGAAAUUUGUAAAGAUUGACAAUGGAAUUUUGGGACUCUUGUAUACUUUUAAGCCCAAUUAAACCCUAGGUCAGCUUAAGGUACUUUAGGUUAAGUUUAUUAGUAUAAAUAGGAUAUGUUUAACAACAUUGAGACAACCUUUGAGAGAUUCAAGAAACUAGAAGUUGAGGUUGAAACUAGGAGAUCAAGUCGGCAAUAAUUGUUUUGUGUUCCUCCUUAGCUUUUAAUUUUUUUGUUACUUUCAAUGGUUAAAUUUAUUAUAAUGUUAUUUGUUUUUGCAA
Molecule: non-coding RNA, 565 nt
Organism: Theobroma cacao (cacao)
Lineage: Eukaryota; Viridiplantae; Streptophyta; Magnoliopsida; Malvales; Malvaceae
Source: RefSeq, a predicted model, not a curated record